This 696-nucleotide ribosomal RNA is filed under the name Acarposporophycos brasiliensis. Its description in RNAcentral is "eukaryotic LSU rRNA". It matches the Rfam family "Eukaryotic large subunit ribosomal RNA", at positions 604 to 1226 of the family's 3401-position model. The record is from RNAcentral. Lineage: Eukaryota; Rhodophyta; Florideophyceae; Batrachospermales; Batrachospermaceae.
GUGCGCGGGSGUAAAAUCCUGCGUGCCGUGGCGCGCCUGCUGGUGAGGGCUCCCGCCUGUUGUGGGCGGUGAGGACGGACGCAAAAGGGCGCGACUCGACCCGUCUUGAAACACGGACCAAGGAGUCCAGCAUGGCUGCGAGUCGAAGGGUGUGGUAAACCCGGGUGGCGCAGUGAAAGCGAAAGAUGGUAAAUUGCAAGUACAGUUGAACGAUUGCAAAUUGGGGAGGCGUGCCGGUGCCACCAGCACGUCCUACCUCGAGCACCCAUGCUGGGACCCGAAAGAUGGUGAACUAUGCUUGAGCAGGGCAAAGCCAGAGGAAACUCUGGUGGAGGCUCGUAGCGAUGCUGACGUGCAAAUCGCUCGUCAAACUUGGGUAUAGGGGCGAAAGACUAAUCGAACCAUCUAGUAGCUGGUUCCCUCCGAAGUUUCUCUCAGGAUAGCGGGCCGACAAGUGUGUGUGUGUUAUUGUUUUGUGUGGUAAAGCGAAUGAUUAGUGCAUUUGGGGGCCCAUGGCCUUCGGGCGAUUCUCAAACUUUAAAUGCGCAAGGGGGCGGCUGCCUGGUCUGAGCCAGCCCCUCUAAAAAUGUCGGCUCCGUGGGCCACUUUUGGUAAGCAGAACUGGCGAUAAGGGAUGAACCUUAAGCGCGGUUAAGGCGCCGCAUUGUCCGCUUAUAGACCCCACAAAAGGUGUUG